RNAcentral lists this ribosomal RNA (699 nucleotides) under uncultured bacterium. RNAcentral describes it as "bacterial SSU rRNA". It matches the Rfam family "Bacterial small subunit ribosomal RNA", at positions 8 to 743 of the family's 1533-position model. The record is from RNAcentral.
AGAGUUUGAUCCUGGCUCACAACGAACGCUGGCGGCAGGCCUAACACAUGCAAGUCGAGGGGGAAGCUAUUUUCGGAUAGUGGAGACCGGCGCACGGGUGAGUAACGCGUGGGAACCUACCCUGGGGUGGGGGAUAACUGCUGGAAACGGCAGCUAAUACCGCAUACGCCUUGAGAGGGAAAGAUUUAUUGCCCUGGGACGGGCCCGCGUUGGAUUAGCUUGUUGGUGAGGUAAAGGCUCACCAAGGCUACGAUCUAUAGCUGGUCUGAGAGGAUGAUCAGCCACACUGGGACUGAGACACGGCCCAGACUCCUACGGGAGGCAGCAGUGGGGAAUAUUGGACAAUGGGGGCAACCCUGAUCCAGCCAUGCCGCGUGCGUGAAGAAGGCCUUAGGGUUGUAAAGCGCUUUCACCGGUGAAGAUGAUGACGGUAGCCGGAGAAGAAGCCCCGGCUAACUCCGUGCCAGCAGCCGCGGUAAUACGGAGGGGGCAAGCGUUGUUCGGAAUGACUGGGCGUAAAGGGCGCGUAGGCGGAUGUGUAAGUUGGGGGUGAAAGGCCUGGGCUCAACCUGGGAAUUGCCUCCAAAACUACACGUCUUGAGAUCGGAAGAGGAUGGCGGAAUUCCCAGUGUAGAGGUGAAAUUCGUAGAUAUUGGGAAGAACACCGGUGGCGAAGGCGGCCAUCUGGUCCGACACUGA